UACAGAGGUCCCGAGCGUUGUUCGGAUUCACUGGGCGUAAAGGGUGCGUAGGUGGCUGGGUAAGUUUGAUGUGAAAGCUCAGGGCUUAACCCUGAAAUGGCAUUGAAUACUAUUCGGCUGGAGGUUUGGAGGGGGGACUGGAAUUCUCGGUGUAGCAGUGAAAUGCGUAGAUAUCGAGAGGAACACCAGUGGCGAAGGCGAGUCCUGGACAACACCUGACACUGAGGCACGAAAGCUAGGGGAGCAAACAGG
RNAcentral lists this ribosomal RNA (252 nucleotides) under uncultured bacterium. Its description in RNAcentral is "partial 16S ribosomal RNA". It matches the Rfam family "Bacterial small subunit ribosomal RNA", at positions 524 to 776 of the family's 1533-position model. The record is from RNAcentral.